UACAGAGGUCUCAAGCGUUGUUCGGAAUCACUGGGCGUAAAGGGUGCGUAGGCUGCAUGGUAAGUCAGGUGUGAAAGCCCGGAGCUCAACUCCGGAACUGCACCCGAUACUGCCGUGCUUGAGGACUGGAGAGGAGUCUGGAAUUCACAGUGGAGCAGUGAAAUGCGUAGAUAUUGUGAGGAACACUAGUGGCGAAGGCGAGACUCUGGACAGUUCCUGACGCUGAGGCACGAAGGCCAGGGGAGCAAACGGG
RNAcentral lists this ribosomal RNA (253 nucleotides) under uncultured bacterium. RNAcentral describes it as "partial 16S ribosomal RNA". It matches the Rfam family "Bacterial small subunit ribosomal RNA", at positions 524 to 776 of the family's 1533-position model. The record is from RNAcentral. RNAcentral also lists the same sequence under 1 other name.